GAUGAACGCUAGCGGCAGGCUUAACACAUGCAAGUCGAGGGGUAACAUUGUAGCUUGCUACAGAUGACGACCGGCGAACGGGUGCGUAACGCGUAUAGAAUCUGCCUUGUACAGGAGGAUAGCCUUUAGAAAUGAAGAUUAAUACUCCAUAAUGUUGGUGAGUGGCAUCGCUUACUAAUUAAAGAUUUAUCGGUACAAGAUGACUAUGCGUCCUAUUAGCUAGAUGGUGAGGUAACGGCUUACCAUGGCAACGAUAGGUAGGGGGUCUGAGAGGAUUAUCCCCCACACUGGUACUGAGACACGGACCAGACUCCUACGGGAGGCAGCAGUGAGGAAUAUUGGUCAAUGGAGGCAACUCUGAACCAGCCAUGCCGCGUGCAGGAAGACUGCCCUAUGGGUUGUAAACUGCUUUUAUACAGGAAGAAACCUUAGUACGUGUGCUAAGCUGACGGUACUGUAAGAAUAAGCACCGGCUAACUCCG
This 482-nucleotide ribosomal RNA is filed under the name uncultured Tenacibaculum sp. RNAcentral describes it as "bacterial SSU rRNA". It matches the Rfam family "Bacterial small subunit ribosomal RNA", at positions 28 to 505 of the family's 1533-position model. The record is from RNAcentral. Lineage: Bacteria; Pseudomonadati; Bacteroidota; Flavobacteriia; Flavobacteriales; Flavobacteriaceae.